This 955-nucleotide long non-coding RNA is filed under the name Capsicum annuum. RNAcentral's name for it is "long non-coding RNA (CANN_LNC018865)". Lineage: Eukaryota; Viridiplantae; Streptophyta; Magnoliopsida; Solanales; Solanaceae. The record is from RNAcentral.
ACUACCAUCUAAAUCCACAAGCCAAAGCUUGCUCUUUAUAAGUGCAACAACUCAUUUAUCUAGGUUCUCCAAUUCAGUUGGUUGCUUCUAUUUGCUUGUUCCUUGGAAUAUGGCUGCUUUUGUUUGCUUGCUCUUUGUGCAUUCACCAUCGAUCAAAUUUGCUAACUUUACCUUACACAACCAAAACAACUUUAUUCAUACGGAGUCGAACCUGAAAGUAAGAACCAAACAGUUAAAAUAGUCGGAGGCAUAAUCUGCAAAUAAUAAGGUUUCAUUACACAGCUAAAUGAUUAAAAUUGAAUAAUUUGUCAGGCUGUUAAUAGAUUGGCUAAAUUAAAGAAAUUACAACAAAAUUGAAUACUCACAGGGCUCAUUAAUAGAUUGUGCUUAAGAACUCUACAGUAAAAAAAAUAAGCCACAACAUGGGAAACCAUCUCCUUCUCAGGGUUAGCGACAAAGAAAGUUGGAAAAGAUGAAAUGUGCAAAAUUAAACAUUGACAAAUUUAAACGAAAUUGUACACUUAAAGGGAUCGUUAAUUGGGACAUCUAAUAAUGGAGAUUACUUCCUCCAUCAAAGUUUAAGAAAAUACCAACGCCAAAAAUGUGUAGUACAAAUUAAACAUUGAUUUCGUACACUUACAAGGCUUGUUAAUUGGGAGAAUUAUCUAAGAACGAAGAUUACUUCCUUCAUCAAAGUUUAAGAAAAUGCCAACACCAAAAAUGUGUAGUACAAAAUUAAACAUUGACAAAUUUCAACGAAAUUAAACAAUUACCAGGUUCGUUAAUUAGCAGAACCAUCUAAGAACGGAGAUUACUUCCUCCUUCAAAGUUUAAGAAAAUGCCUACGCCAAAAAUAUGUAGUACAAAAUCAAACAUUGACAAAUUUCAAUCAAAUUAAACGCAUACCGGGCUCGUUAAUUGGGAGAACCAUCUAAGAACAGAGAUUACUUCCUCC